AGAGUUUGAUCCUAGCUCAGGAUGAACGCUGGCGGCGUGGAUAAGGCAUGCAAGUCGAACGAACUUUUUGUUUCCCGAGAUGAGAUUACAUCAAGUCAAAGGUCGUUUAAAGUUAGUGGCGAACGAGGUAGUAACACAUAGGAACUUCCCCCUAAGUCGUGAACAACUCAUCGAAAGGUGAGCUAAUACACGAUGGUCCCCGUGAGAUAAGAGAACCGAAGUUUAUAGUAAGAUUAAAUAAAAAUAUUUUUUAAUCAUUUAAUUUAUUUCGAUUUUGUUAUCUCACGGGGUAAAGAUUUCUCGCUUAGGGAAAGGCCUGUGAAGUAUCAGCUUGUUGGUAGUGUAAUAGACUACCAAGGCUAUGACGCUUAGGGGAGCUGAGAGGCUGACCCCCACCGAUGGGACUGAGACACGGCCCAUACACCUACGGGUGGCUGCAGUCGAGAAUCUUCCGCAAUGGACGAAAGUCUGACGGAGCGACGCCGCGUGAUUGAAGAAGCAAUUCGUUGUGUAAAAAUCUUUUAUGAGGGAAGAAGUUUAUUGACGGUACCUCAUGAAUAAGGGGCUCCUAAUCUCGUGCCAGCAGGAGCGGUAAUACGAGAGCCCCGAGCGUUAUCCGGAAUUAUUGGGCGUAAAGGGUGCGUAGGCGGUGAUGUUAGUCGUUUGUCAAAUCCUCGGGCUUAACCCGAGACUCGCGAACGAAACGGCAUUGCUAGAGAAUGUGGGGAGUAUGGGGAACUCAUGGUGUAGGGGUGAAAUCCGUUGAUAUCAUGGGGAACACCGAAAGCGAAAGCACCAUACUAACACAUAUCUGACGCUCAAGCACGAAAGCGUGGGUAGCGAAUGGGAUUAGAUACCCCAGUAGUCCACGCCCUAAACGAUGAUCUCUAGUCUUUCGGAGUAUCGACCCUCUGAGAGACGUAGCUAACGCGUUAAGAGAUCCGCCUGGGAAGUACGGCCGCAAGGCUAAAACUCAAAGGAAUAGACGGGGACUUGCACAAGUAGUGGAUUAUGUGGUUUAAUUCGAUGAUAAACGAAGAACCUUACCAAGGUUAGAAACCAAUUUGAAAGCCCUAAGAAACUAGGGCCCUCGCAAGACAGAUUGGCAGGUGAUGCAUGGCCGUCGUCAGUUCGUGGUUUGAAUUGUUCCCUUAAGUGGGGUAACGAACGCAACCCUCAUCGUGUGUUAUAAGUGUCACACGAGACUGCCCAGCCCUUUGGAUUUAAUUAAAAAGAUUGAAUCUAGUGGGCUGGGAGGAAGGGGAGGAUGACGCCAGGUCAGCAUGUCCCUUGAUACCUUGGGCUACACACAUAAUACAAUCGCAAUUACAACGGGCUGCGACGAGGUAACUCUGAGCUAAUCCUAAGAAAAAUUGCGCCAGUUCGGAUUGGGGGCUGCAACUCGACCCCAUGAAGUUGGAAUUACUAGUAAUCGCGGGUCAGAUAUACCGCGGUGAAUACGUUCUCAAGUCUUGUACUCACCGCCCGUCAAUUCAAGGGAGCCGGGAGUGCUCGAAGUCUCUCCAGAAGGAGGGCCUACAGUAAGCUCGGUGACAGGGAAUAAGUCGUAACAAGGCACGGGUAGCGGAAGCUGUUCGUG
Molecule: ribosomal RNA, 1600 nt
Filed under: bacterium
Lineage: Bacteria
Also listed under: 1 other name
Description: bacterial SSU rRNA
Rfam family: Bacterial small subunit ribosomal RNA
Source: RNAcentral